UACAGAGGUCUCAAGCGUUGUUCGGAUUCAUUGGGCGUAAAGGGUGCGUAGGUGGCGCGGUAAGUCGGGUGUGAAAUCUCGGAGCUUAACUCCGAAAUUGCAUUCGAUACUGCCGUGCUCGAGGACUGGAGAGGAGACUGGAAUUCAUGGUGUAGCAGUGAAAUGCGUAGAGAUCAUGAGGAAGACCAGUGGCGAAGGCGGGUCUCUGGACAGUUCCUGACACUGAGGCACGAAAGCCAGGGGAGCAAACAGG
Molecule: ribosomal RNA, 253 nt
Filed under: uncultured bacterium
Lineage: Bacteria
Description: partial 16S ribosomal RNA
Rfam family: Bacterial small subunit ribosomal RNA
Source: RNAcentral